RNAcentral lists this ribosomal RNA (301 nucleotides) under uncultured bacterium. RNAcentral's name for it is "partial 16S ribosomal RNA". It matches the Rfam family "Bacterial small subunit ribosomal RNA", at positions 509 to 808 of the family's 1533-position model. The record is from RNAcentral.
CAGUAGCCGCGGGAAUACAGAGGGUGCGAGCGUUAAUCGGAUUUACUGGGCGUAAAGCGUGCGUAGGCGGCUAAUUGAGUCGGAUGUGAAAUCCCCGAGCUUAACUUGGGAAUUGCAUUCGAUACUGGUUAGCUAGAGUGUGGGAGAGGAUGGUAGAAUUCCAGGUGUAGCGGUGAAAUGCGUAGAGAUCUGGAGGAAUACCGAUGGCGAAGGCAGCCAUCUGGCCUAACACUGACGCUGAGGUACGAAAGCAUGGGGAGCAAACAGGAUUAGAUACCCCCGUAGUCCCUGUCUCUUUACA